UCUAUUGAUAAUAUUUUUUUUAUUUGCCAUUUAUUUUAUACAUUUUUUUAAUAUUUUUUAUUAUAUAUAAUGUGUAUAUCCUGCCGAUGUACUGGAAUAUUAAGCUGUCUAGGAAAUUUAUCUUAUAUAUUUGAAAGGCUAGCAUCAUGCUGUGCUAUGACUGCUGUUGUGUCUUGUAUCGUCACCACAUUGAUUUUUAUGCUGGGAGUUGGCGUCGGACUUGGCUACAACUAUUGUUACGUUGACUUCACUUCUGGGCAGCGUGCCAGCGCUGAGGCAUUUGAUUCCUUUGAGGACCUCAUGGUAAUACCUGUAAAUGAUACAGAGACUGACGACAGAUCGAGCAAAGAUUCGAGAAAGUCGUUCCAGCCCUUCGACCUACCUAUUAAGAAAAACGUGAAGAUAUCCGUACCCUUGAAUGAGGGCAUCGAUUUUACACAACUUCUGAAUAAAAUAAGAAGUUCACGAAAGAAUGUAACUCUUCAAUUAAUUGUAUAGGAGAUAUUGGAAAUAAUGGGAAGGUCAAUACACAAGCAAGAGUACCAGUCAGUAAUCAUAAUGACGAUAUAAGAUUAAAAACUGAACUCGUACGAACUACAACUAAUCCUUUUUCGUAAUAAAAUGAUUAGCAAAUUUUGUAAAUAAAUCCACGAACACUAUUCGAUUGGCAUUUGUGUAGUGAAAUAUACAAUGUAUAGAGUAUGUGUUUGUAUUGUCAAUCUGAUAUCGGGUUGACGUAUUCAUGUACAUCUACAUUAUCGAAGUAGGCAAAACAGUACUAGUACAAAGAGCUGUUUGAUUUCGCACAUAUUUUAUUGAAUUGUGGUGUUCAUUCAAAUGCAAUGAUUGUUCAAAUUUCUAUGGAAUACACGCCGUUCAUUUAAUAAAUUUGUUGAUUGAAUUUUAUUUUUUA
Molecule: long non-coding RNA, 913 nt
Organism: Pieris napi
Lineage: Eukaryota; Metazoa; Arthropoda; Insecta; Lepidoptera; Pieridae
Exons: 3
Source: RefSeq, a predicted model, not a curated record